CCUACGGGAGGCAGCAGUGAGGAAUAUUGGUCAAUGGACGAGAGUCUGAACCAGCCAAGUAGCGUGAAGGAUGACUGCCCUAUGGGUUGUAACCUUCUUUUAUAAAGGAAUAAAACGAGGCACGUGUGCCUUUUUGCAUGUACUUUAUGAAUAAGGAUCGGCUAACUCCGUGCCAGCAGCCGCGGUAAUACGGAGGAUCCGAGCGUUAUCCGGAUUUAUUGGGUUUAAAGGGAGCGUAGAUGGGUUGGUAAGUCAGUUGUGAAAGUUUGCGGCUCAACCGUAAAAUGGCAAUUGAUACUGGCAGUCUUGAGUACAGUUGAGGUAGGCGGAAUUCGUGGUGUAGCGGUGAAAUGCUUAGAUAUCACGAAGAACCCCGAUUGCGAAGGCAGCUUACUAAACUGUGACUGACAUUGAUGCUCGAAAGUGUGGGUAUCAAACAGGAUUAGAUACCCCUGUAGUC
This 460-nucleotide ribosomal RNA is filed under the name uncultured bacterium. Its description in RNAcentral is "partial 16S ribosomal RNA". It matches the Rfam family "Bacterial small subunit ribosomal RNA", at positions 338 to 795 of the family's 1533-position model. The record is from RNAcentral.